This 430-nucleotide ribosomal RNA is filed under the name uncultured bacterium. RNAcentral describes it as "bacterial SSU rRNA". It matches the Rfam family "Bacterial small subunit ribosomal RNA", at positions 917 to 1344 of the family's 1533-position model. The record is from RNAcentral.
GGACCCGCACAAGCGGUGGAACAUGUGGUUUAAUUCGAUGCUACGCGAAAAACCUUACCAAGUCUUGACAUAGUAGUCGUAUAGUGGAGAAACUCACUAGUCAGUUCGGCUGGACUACAUACAGGUGUUGCAUGGCUGUCGUCAGCUCGUGUCGUGAGAUGUUGGGUUAAGUCCCGCAACGAGCGCAACCCUUAUCUUUAAUUGCCAUCAGAUAAUGCUGGGAACCUUAAAGAAACUGCCAAUGGAGAAUUGGAGGAAGGUGAGGAUGACGUCAAGUCAGCAUGGCCCUUACGACUUGGGCUACACACGUGUUACAAUGGCAACCACAAUGUGAAGCAAUAGGGUGACCUAAAGCAAAUCAGUAAAAGUUGUCUCAGUUCGGAUUGCACCCUGCAACUCGGGUGCAUGAAGCAGGAAUCGCUAGUAAUCG